RNAcentral lists this ribosomal RNA (468 nucleotides) under uncultured bacterium. Its description in RNAcentral is "partial 16S ribosomal RNA". It matches the Rfam family "Bacterial small subunit ribosomal RNA", at positions 28 to 507 of the family's 1533-position model. The record is from RNAcentral.
GACGAACGCUGGCGGCGUGCUUAACACAUGCAAGUCGAACGGAAAGGCCCUGCUUUUGUGGGGUGCUCGAGUGGCGAACGGGUGAGUAACACGUGAGUAACCUGCCCUUGACUUUGGGAUAACUUCAGGAAACUGGGGCUAAUACCGGAUAGGAGCUCCUGCUGCAUGGUGGGGGUUGGAAAGUUUCGGCGGUUGGGGAUGGACUCGCGGCUUAUCAGCUUGUUGGUGGGGUAGCGGCUUACCAAGGCUUUGACGGGUAGCCGGCCUGGGAGGGUGACCGGCCACAUUGGGCCUGAGAUACGGCCCAGCCUCCUACGGGACGCAGCAGUGGGGAAUAUUGCACAAUGGGCGGAAGCCUGAUGCAGCCACGCCGCGUGCGGGAUGACGGCCUUCGGGUUGUAAACCGCUUUCGCCUGGGACGAAGCGUGAGUGACGGUACUGGGUAAAGAAGCACCGGCUAACUACGUG